Long non-coding RNA from Haliotis rubra (blacklip abalone), 458 nucleotides. RefSeq lists it as uncharacterized. The record is from RefSeq and is a predicted model, not a curated record. The transcript is spliced from 3 exons. Lineage: Eukaryota; Metazoa; Mollusca; Gastropoda; Lepetellida; Haliotidae.
AUGGCGUCAAAUAUGGCGGUAAAUGUAACUUGGAAAGAUUUACUUGCAGAAACACUGGACAUGAAUUAUCUUAAGUAAGAUGAUGAUAAAUGCAUGAUCCACUACUAUGAUUUGGGUUCAAUUUCCACUGGUUAUUCUCUCAGUGUUUUUGUUCCUGUUUGGAAGAGGCAGCACCAUCCAGAUGUCCUUGACAGCUUCCUUCACCAUGUCCCGUGACCCUUCUUGCAUCCACACCACCAGCAUAUCAAACACCACUGCACUCCAAUGCAUCACACCUACUGGGAACUGUGACCAAUGGAUACAAGUAUCUGUCAUGGAACCUGUUCUCUUCACAGGAGUCCGACUGGCAGCAGAUGGACUGAACACAGAUUCAGAUGCAUUGCAAGCGUUCAAAAUAGGUUAUUCACAUGAUGCUUUGACCUGGAAACAUCUUAAUGAAAAAACACUAAAAAAGAAGA